This 531-nucleotide ribosomal RNA is filed under the name Niallia nealsonii. RNAcentral's name for it is "bacterial SSU rRNA". It matches the Rfam family "Bacterial small subunit ribosomal RNA", at positions 394 to 916 of the family's 1533-position model. Lineage: Bacteria; Bacillati; Bacillota; Bacilli; Caryophanales; Bacillaceae. The record is from RNAcentral.
ACGCCGCGUGAGUGAUGAAGGUUUUCGGAUCGUAAAACUCUGUUGUUAGGGAAGAACAAGUACGAGAGUAACUGCUCGUACCUUGACGGUACCUAACCAGAAAGCCACGGCUAACUACGUGCCAGCAGCCGCGGUAAUACGUAGGUGGCAAGCGUUGUCCGGAAUUAUUGGGCGUAAAGCGCGCGCAGGCGGUCCUUUAAGUCUGAUGUGAAAGCCCACGGCUCAACCGUGGAGGGUCAUUGGAAACUGGGGGACUUGAGUGCAGAAGAGAAGAGUGGAAUUCCACGUGUAGCGGUGAAAUGCGUAGAGAUGUGGAGGAACACCAGUGGCGAAGGCGACUCUUUGGUCUGUAACUGACGCUGAGGCGCGAAAGCGUGGGGAGCAAACAGGAUUAGAUACCCUGGUAGUCCACGCCGUAAACGAUGAGUGCUAAGUGUUAGAGGGUUUCCGCCCUUUAGUGCUGCAGCAAACGCAUUAAGCACUCCGCCUGGGGAGUACGGCCGCAAGGCUGAAACUCAAAGGAAUUGACGG